Long non-coding RNA from Panicum hallii, 2190 nucleotides. RefSeq lists it as uncharacterized. The transcript is spliced from 3 exons. Lineage: Eukaryota; Viridiplantae; Streptophyta; Magnoliopsida; Poales; Poaceae. The record is from RefSeq and is a predicted model, not a curated record.
CCAUCGCCCAACUCCUGCCUGCCCUGCCCUGUAGCUCUCCGUCCCCAUCGUCUACCUCGCUACCUCUUGCAUGUCGUUGCCUUGGCACCUUGCGACCUCCUCCCAUCAAAUCCAUGGCGUUAUAAACCCCGGCCCCCUCUUCUCCACCGUACCCCUAGCUACCACAACACCAUGCUGCAUGCAUCAUGUAUCAGGAAGCCAGCCGCAUCAGCAGUAUAAAUAAUUCUCUCUCAGUGAUUAGCUAGCAGGCUGCCUAGCAGCAGGCUCCUUCUUCCUCGGUUCUUCUUCAUUCAGGAAGCUAGUGGAGGACUCCAAAGGGAUCGCAUUGAUCUCACCAUCCGCCGCCGCCGCCGGCACGCACAGCUGCGCGCAAGGACAGGAUCAGUGCAAUCCCUUUGGAAUUUUCCACUUGCGCCUCCGUCCGCACGCACGCCCUCGGUACCCGCGCCGCCGCCGUAAAUCUCCUCGAUCGCCGAGCCUGCGACCCAACCCGAGGCAUGCAAGAACGGCUCAGAUUUGGAGGAGGAUACUAGACAUUGCUCACCGCCGGUAGGGUUCCAGGCUUCCAGCAGGCCCUCUGUUAAGGACGACGACGAAUUGAAGCUGUGCGCUUCUCGCUGGUCUCCCAUCCUGGGCUUGAUAUGAUGAUGAUGCUUUAAUUUCCUCGUGAGCCUUGAGAGAAGUACUGCUUGUUUGGGAAAAUUUGGGAGGACAGGACCGGAAGAACACACAAUUCCUUUGCAACUUGCAAGAUCCUCGUUGUGCAAACUUAAUUUGCAGUGGGUGGGUCGGAUGACAACGAAGUGCAAGUGGUGAGAAAAGGAAAGGAAACGAAACGAGAUAGUGGGGAUCGAUGAAACGUGGAGAAUCGGUUUUGCAUGAACUUUGCACGAAUUAAAAUAAAAUUCUUAAGCACAUGCAUGUUGCCAAUUCGCAUCUUCAGUCUUUUAUUCCCCCGGGCCCUUUUCUUGUUGGGCUAGCUAGCUGCUGCCUACUGAUGAUCAUCUGCUAUUCUCUCUCUCUCUCUCUCUCUCUCUCUCUCUCUCUCUCUCUCUCUCUCUCUCUCUCUCUCUCUCUCUCUCUCUCUCUCUCUCUCUCUCUCUCUUCCAGAACACGUUUAUUUAGGCCAGUCGUGCCACCUGCCUAAAGUAAUUUUUUUUUCCUUCCCUACGCCUGUACGCCGAACAACAGAACGGGUUUUGCGCGAAUCAGACCAAUUUCAGAUGAAGGUGAAAAAAUGAGCAUACAAAGGAUGAGUCAACAGUACAUGAAGACGUAUAAAUGAAGGAUCCUGCUUCCUAUUAGCUAGCUGCACUAUAUUAUUCGGAAAAGAAAAGGGAAUGGCAGGUGAGUGGAUGUAUAUAUAUACAACCCAGGUGCCUUGCCUUCUGAACAUAAAUUGGAUCUGUUUGGAUGGACUAAUGUUAAAUGCUAAACUUAUUAGCCCUUAUAUAUUUGCUAAAGUUUUUGAGUUCCGGCAAAAACGUUUAGCCGAGUUUAGCCGACAUUAUCAGCUAGCAUUCCUAUCUGGAUGGACUAGUGCUAAACCUUAGCACUCUAGGGCAUUAGUAUUUGAACCGAAACAUCCCUAAAUACUGGAGUAAUUAUUCGAUGUUGUUCAUUAUCAUACUAAUAACAUGGUUAAUAUGCGUAUAUGUAAUUUGUGCAUGCAGAGAAAGAUGUGGCAUGCAGUGGGGCUCUUUAAUUAUUUCUCUUUGCCAGUUAGGGUAAAAGAUGCAAGCAAAGCCCAGACAGGUUGCAUUUAUGAGGAUUGAAUAUGCCGGCAGGCUGCAGCUCUAGGAUCUCUCGGCUCUAGUAUGGAAUCUUGCUUGCUUCGAAAUAUAUGCAUGAUCUCUUCUCUGUGUCCUUUCUCCUUUGUCCAAAUAUAUACCAAACAUAUUCCUCAGACACUGCUGCUGCUUAAUUUAUUUUUCUUUAUUUCCUGCACGUUUCUCGCCGAUCGAUGGGAUGUAUGACACGCGGAUGAUCAUUUCAUGCUUUUAUUGUACACUGCACUGCACACACGGUGAUGACCGAAUCUGAAACCAAAUCAGUAAUUACCUGGAGGCGGAGGAGCUGUACGUACACUGCAGCAGGUAGACAUGAACAACAGCUAGCAGCGCUCGCUGUGCAUGGUGUCGAGACAGAAUUGAGCAGGCAAUAAGCGACAAGGGGAUAAGUUGUGUGCAU